RNAcentral lists this ribosomal RNA (480 nucleotides) under Streptococcus parasanguinis. RNAcentral describes it as "bacterial SSU rRNA". It matches the Rfam family "Bacterial small subunit ribosomal RNA", at positions 28 to 494 of the family's 1533-position model. Lineage: Bacteria; Bacillati; Bacillota; Bacilli; Lactobacillales; Streptococcaceae. The record is from RNAcentral.
GAUGAACGCGGGCGGCGUGCUUAAUACAUGCAAGUAGAACGCUGAAGCUUGGUGCUUGCACCGAGCGGUGAGUUGCGAACGGGUGAGUAACGCGUAGGUAACCUGCCUCUAAGCGGGGGAUAACUAUUGGAAACGAUAGCUAAUACCGCAUAAAAGUCGAUAUCGCAUGAUGUUAAUUUGAAAGGUGCAAUUGCAUCACUAAGAGAUGGACCUGCGUUGUAUAGCUAGUUGGUGAGGUAACGGCUCACCAAGGCGACGAUACAUAGCCGACCUGAGAGGGUGAUCGGCCACACUGGGACUGAGACACGGCCCAGACUCCUACGGGAGGCAGCAGUAGGGAAUCUUCGGCAAUGGGGGCAACCCUGACCGAGCAACGCCGCGUGAGUGAAGAAGGUUUUCGGAUCGUAAAGCUCUGUUGUAAGAGAAGAACGAGUGUGAGAGUGGAAAGUUCACACUGUGACGGAACUACCAAAAGGCGCA